CAGAGGAGCCAAGCGUUGUCCGGAUUGACUGGGCGUAAAGCGCACGCAGGCGGUCGCGCGCGUGGGGUGUGAAAUCUGGCCGCUUAACGGCCAGGCGCCAUCCCAUACGGCGCGACUGGAGUGAUGCAGAGGUCGGUGGAAUUGCCGGUGUAGUGGUGAAAUGCGUAGAGAUCAGCAGGAACACCCAGGGGGAAACCAACCAACUGAGCAUCUACUGACGCUGAGGUGCGAGAGCGUGGGGAGCGAACCGGAUUAGAUACCCGGGUAGUCCACGCCGUAAACGAUGGCCACUCGGCCUUUGGUGGCGGAAUCUCCGUCGCUGGGGGCCUUAGCUAACGCGGGAAGUGGCCCGCCUGGGAACUACGAGCGCAAGCUUA
RNAcentral lists this ribosomal RNA (377 nucleotides) under uncultured organism. RNAcentral's name for it is "bacterial SSU rRNA". It matches the Rfam family "Bacterial small subunit ribosomal RNA", at positions 526 to 896 of the family's 1533-position model. The record is from RNAcentral.